Long non-coding RNA from Glycine soja, 887 nucleotides. RefSeq lists it as uncharacterized. NCBI's taxonomy places the organism in Eukaryota, Viridiplantae, Streptophyta, Magnoliopsida, Fabales, Fabaceae. The transcript is spliced from 4 exons. The record is from RefSeq and is a predicted model, not a curated record.
ACUCUUCAUUGUCGUCAUAGAGAGCGGGGGAGAGAGAAGAAACACUCUCUGCCCUCUCAUCUUUGAGCUUCGAUGGCGAUGAGCGUUGCAAGGCUGAGGAAGGACGAGAUCCAGAGGCUGGAGAAGGAGAUCGAUUCGCUCCGGCAUCCAACGGUGGAGCUGCAUGAGUCAGAGACGAGCGCGGCACUGAAGAACCUCCUUGAAGAGAGAGAAAGAAUGGUGACAUUUCUAGAGACGAGCGCAGCAGCACCACCAUCGCCGCUGUUAUUCAAACCCUAACCCUCCUCACCCUCACCCUCAGCCCGCUUUGCUCGUCUUUUCCAGUGGGACUGCUUUCAACGGCGUCGUCGAGGAGCUCAAGAAUUUCACCACCCGCGUCGCUCACGUUCUCCCCGUUUCCGACGAUGAAGGAAGCACUGGUGAAAUUGUUAGUGUUCUCGGUGGUCCUGCUGUUAGAGAUAUAUGUUCCAAGUGCCUGAGGUUGUUUGAUCAGAGUACCAUUGAGGCUUUCACAGUUCGAAAUUUGGCUGGGCAUCGUCUACCACUUGAUCCACUGCAAGCUAAAUCAGAAUGAAUAUUCUCCAAGAUGUGGAUGAGUUGUCUAGACUGGCUUGGUCAGCCAAGGUGGCAUCUGCUCACUACUGGCUGGAGUAUUUUUGUUAGCCAAAAGAAUCUUGUUUCUGGAGAUGCAAUUCUCUUACUUAGGUGUGUAUAUGUGUGUGUGUACAAGUAGGAUUUUGUUUUAAAAAUAUAAUAAACACUGAUAGUGUAAAGAAUUGUUAUACUGUCAUAGUGUCACUUAAUUUCAAACCGCCAGCCAUGUACAAUAUAAGUUUGUUUGAUUUUCAAAAUAUCUACCUUAAAAGUCAUACAAAAGGAUGAUUUCU